This 432-nucleotide ribosomal RNA is filed under the name uncultured bacterium. RNAcentral describes it as "partial 16S ribosomal RNA". It matches the Rfam family "Bacterial small subunit ribosomal RNA", at positions 29 to 506 of the family's 1533-position model. The record is from RNAcentral.
AACGAACGCUGGCGGCAUGCCUAACACAUGCAAGUCGAACGAGACCUUCGGGUCUAGUGGCGCACGGGUGCGUAACGCGUGGGAACCUGCCCUUAGGUUCGGAAUAACUCCCCGAAAGGGGUGCUAAUACCGGAUAAUGUCUUCGGACCAAAGAUUUAUCGCCUUUGGAUGGGCCCGCGUUGGAUUAGCUAGUUGGUAGGGUAAAAGCCUACCAAGGCGACGAUCCAUAGCUGGUCUGAGAGGAUGAUCAGCCACACUGGGACUGAGACACGGCCCAGACUCCUACGGGAGGCAGCAGUGGGGAAUAUUGGACAAUGGGCGAAAGCCUGAUCCAGCAAUGCCGCGUGAGUGAUGAAGGCCUUAGGGUUGUAAAGCUCUUUUACCCGGGAUGAUAAUGACAGUACCGGGAGAAUAAGCUCCGGCUAACUCAGU